UACAGAGGGUGCGAGCGUUGUCCGGAAUUACUGGGCGUAAAGCGUGCGCAGGCGGUUUUGUAAGCCAGAUGUGAAAUCCCCGGGCUCAACCUGGGAAUGGCAUUUGGGACUGCAAGGCUGGAGUGCGGCAGAGGAGACUGGAAUUCCUGGUGUAGCAGUGAAAUGCGUAGAUAUCAGGAGGAAUACCGAUGGCGAAGGCAGGUCUCUGGGCUGACACUGACGCUCAUGCACGAAAGCGUGGGGAGCAAACAGG
Molecule: ribosomal RNA, 253 nt
Filed under: uncultured bacterium
Lineage: Bacteria
Description: partial 16S ribosomal RNA
Rfam family: Bacterial small subunit ribosomal RNA
Source: RNAcentral